This 468-nucleotide ribosomal RNA is filed under the name uncultured bacterium. RNAcentral describes it as "partial 16S ribosomal RNA". It matches the Rfam family "Bacterial small subunit ribosomal RNA", at positions 28 to 507 of the family's 1533-position model. The record is from RNAcentral.
GACGAACGCUGGCGGCGUGCUUAACACAUGCAAGUCGAACGGACAGUCCCUUCUUUUGUGGGGUGCUCGAGUGGCGACCUGGUGAGUAACACUUGAGUAACCUGCCCUUGACUUUGGGAUAACUUCAUGCCACUUGGGCUAAUACCGGAUAGGAGCUCCUGCUGCAUGGUGGGGGUUGGAAAGUUUCGGCGGUUGGGGAUGGACUCGCGGCUUAUCAGCUUGUUGGUGUGGUAGUGUCUUACCAAGGCUUUGACGGGUAGCCGGCCUGAGAGGGUGACCGGCCACAUUGGGACGGAGAUACGGCACAGACUACUACGGGAGGCAGCAGAGGGGAAUAGUGAAAAAUGGGCGGAAGCCUGAUGCAGCAAAGCCGCGUGCGGGAUGAGGGCAUGCGGGUAGUAAACCGAUGUCGCCUGUGACGAAGCGUGAGUGACGGUAACGGGUAAAGAAGCACCGGCUAACUACGUG